CAAGAGCUGUAUAUUGCUUACAUCGUAAUCAACUGAAAAAGAAAAGAACAACUCUACUGUAGCUAAAUAACUUUUAGCCAUCAUUGCACACAUUUAGAAUUUCUUAAGCCAUAAGGAACAGAAACUAGAUUCCAAACACCUUAAAUAAUAAGGAAAAUACAUUACUUCAACAAGAGAGAGAUGAGUCAGCUCUGGCUGUUUAUUUCAGUAACUUCAACAACAUAAAAAAAGGACCCAGGUUCUUUCCAUUUUUUAGCUCUGCCCUUGCAAGAGAGGAAACUCUAUACUCCAGGUUAAGCGACCUUGAGUUCCCAAAAUGCAUGACUUGGUUCCUCAUGUCACAUCCAGACAGGACAACACCCACUGGAAGAGGAACGCUUGCUCAAGUCUUCUCCACACCUCCCCAACCCAUCCUCAGCAAGGAAACAUUUCCUAGCAGCCCAAUUGGCCCAGAACUGGAUCACAGGCCACACACUAUUGGGCUUAGACUGAUAAGAACCUAACCCUCAG
This 510-nucleotide long non-coding RNA is filed under the name Homo sapiens (human). Its description in RNAcentral is "HSALNT0076394". Lineage: Eukaryota; Metazoa; Chordata; Mammalia; Primates; Hominidae. The record is from RNAcentral.